UGCUGGGAGGAUGACGUCAGAGAAACAUGGACGCCGCUCACGCUAGAACCCUCCUGGCUUCGAGUCAGUUAUACCGAAAAGGUUUUUGACAGUGUGAAGUAGCUGAGUUGACAGCAUUGAACAUAAAGGACUGUUCAAUGAUGGUGACGUCAAUCUACCAAGCCAGUGAAGACUACCUCUAUGCCAGACUUAGAGAUGUUUAUGUACGGCUGGAAAUCCAAUCCAGAUAACUCCCCAACUCCGUCCCUGAAGCACUUUAAAGGUCACUGAUACUUCUGUUUUGAUGGAGAGUUUUUGCUUGGUGGAUACUGUAACAGUGGAGGAUAUGUCUUCAUGCCUUAAAGAUUCAUUUUAUGAAGGAAGAAACAGGGUACCAGAAAGCUGAAGGCAUGUGUGCUGUUGGACAGGACCCAAUGCUCACUUCCCUACUCUGGUGAGACUGCACAAGACUCCUCGGUAGGAGAUGCGCUAAGUCUGAACUGGAGGAAGCACGACUUCAGUUUUGACAAUUGGAAGUCUCCUUAUAUUGAUUCUUCUUUGGGCACAUGCUGGUGUUGUCCACAAUGCUGUCUCAGAAUCCCAGCAAUAAAUAUGACCAUUUGUUCAGUGUAUCACUUAAA
Rattus norvegicus (Norway rat) is the source of this 620-nucleotide non-coding RNA. NCBI's taxonomy places the organism in Eukaryota, Metazoa, Chordata, Mammalia, Rodentia, Muridae. The record is from RefSeq and is a predicted model, not a curated record.